This 73-nucleotide transfer RNA is filed under the name Pseudomonadota bacterium. RNAcentral describes it as "tRNA-Trp". It matches the Rfam family "tRNA". From Rfam's summary of the family: Transfer RNA (tRNA) molecules are approximately 80 nucleotides in length. Lineage: Bacteria; Pseudomonadati; Pseudomonadota. The record is from RNAcentral. RNAcentral also lists the same sequence under 4 other names.
AGGUCCGUAGCUCAACUGGUAGAGCACCGGUCUCCAAAACCGGGGGUUGGGGGUUCGAUUCCCUCCGGGCCUG